UACGAAGGGCGCUAGCGUUACUCGGAUUGACUGGGCGUAAAGGGCGCGUAGGCGGCCCGUCAAGUCCCGUGUGAAAGCCCCCGGCUCAACCGGGGAACGGCGCGGGAAACUAGCAGGCUUGAGUUCGGGAGAGGGAAGCGGAAUUCCGGGUGUAGCGGUGAAAUGCGCAGAUAUCCGGAGGAACACCGGUGGCGAAGGCGGCUUCCUGGACCGACACUGACGCUGAGGCGCGAAAGCUAGGGGAGCAAACGGG
RNAcentral lists this ribosomal RNA (253 nucleotides) under uncultured bacterium. RNAcentral's name for it is "partial 16S ribosomal RNA". It matches the Rfam family "Bacterial small subunit ribosomal RNA", at positions 524 to 776 of the family's 1533-position model. The record is from RNAcentral.